CCUACGGGGGGCUGCAGUGGGGAAUAUUGGACAAUGGGCGCAAGCCUGAUCCAGCCAUGCCGCGUGAGUGAUGAAGGCCCUAGGGUUGUAAAGCUCUUUUGUGCGGGAAGAUAAUGACGGUACCGCAAGAAUAAGCCCCGGCUAACUUCGUGCCAGCAGCCGCGGUAAUACGAAGGGGGCUAGCGUUGCUCGGAAUCACUGGGCGUAAAGCGCACGUAGGCGGACUCUUAAGUCAGAGGUGAAAUCCUGGAGCUCAACUCCAGAACUGCCUUUGAUACUGGGAGUCUCGAGUUCGGGAGAGGUGAGUGGAACUGCGAGUGUAGAGGUGAAAUUCGUAGAUAUUCGCAAGAACACCAGUGGCGAAGGCGGCUCACUGGCCCGAUACUGACGCUGAGGUGCGAAAGCGUGGGGAGCAAACAGGAUUAGAUACCCGUGUAGUC
This 440-nucleotide ribosomal RNA is filed under the name uncultured bacterium. Its description in RNAcentral is "partial 16S ribosomal RNA". It matches the Rfam family "Bacterial small subunit ribosomal RNA", at positions 338 to 795 of the family's 1533-position model. The record is from RNAcentral.